This 252-nucleotide long non-coding RNA is filed under the name Lathyrus oleraceus (garden pea). Its description in RNAcentral is "Pisum sativum (pea) long non-coding RNA (PSAT_LNC035682)". The record is from RNAcentral. Lineage: Eukaryota; Viridiplantae; Streptophyta; Magnoliopsida; Fabales; Fabaceae.
AAACUUUUCACAAUCAUUCGCAUUCAAGUUCAUUCAUGGUAACUCUUAUUAGGGAACCUCUUCCUUUCUUCCUUCCUUCCUAUUUCAUCAGCGAUUGUAUCUUUUUGAUCAAAGCUUCUUCCCCUCUCCAUUACUUCACUUCAUCAACUUUGCACAAACAUGUAUCAUUCUCUACUCAAGCUUUUAUCUUUAGAGUUUUCUAUUUUCUAGCCAAGAUGAAUGAUAUAGCCUUGCCCACGUAGCGAGUUAUUC